This 492-nucleotide ribosomal RNA is filed under the name uncultured bacterium. RNAcentral's name for it is "partial 16S ribosomal RNA". It matches the Rfam family "Bacterial small subunit ribosomal RNA", at positions 29 to 507 of the family's 1533-position model. The record is from RNAcentral.
AGUGAACGCUGGCGGUAGGCCUAACACAUGCAAGUCGAACGGCAGCACAGUAAGAGCUUGCUCUUACGGGUGGCGAGUGGCGGACGGGUGAGGAAUACAUCGGAAUCUACUUUUUCGUGAGGGAUAACGUAGGGAAACUUACGCUAAUACCGCAUACGACCUACGGGUGAAAGCAGGGGAUCUUCGGACCUUGCGCGAUUGAAUGAGCCGAUGUCGGAUUAGCUAGUUGGCGGGGUAAAGGCCCACCAAGGCGACGAUCCGUAGCUGGCCUGAGAGGAUGAUCAGCCACACUGGAACUGAGACACGGUCCAGACUCCUACGGGAGGCAGCAGUGGGGAAUAUUGGACAAUGGGCGCAAGCCUGAUCCAGCCAUACCGCGUGGGUGAAGAAGGCCUUCGGGUUGUAAAGCCCUUUUGUUGGGAAAGAAAAGCAGCAGGUUAAUACCCCGCUGUUCUGACGGUACCCAAAGAAUAAGCACCGGCUAACUUCGUG